GAUGAACGCUGGCGGCGUGCCUAAUACAUGCAAGUCGAGCGAACGGACGAGAAGCUUGCUUCUCUGAUGUUAUCGGCGGACGGGUGAGUAACACGUGGAUAACCUACCUAUAAGACUGGGAUAACUUCGGGAAACCGGAGCUAAUACCGGAUAAUAUUUUGAACCGCAUGGUUCAAAAGUGAAAGACGGUCUUGCUGUCACUUAUAGAUGGAUCCGCGCUGCAUUAGCUAGUUGGUAAGGUAACGGCUUACUAAGGCAACGAUGCAUAGCCGACCUGAGAGGGUGAUCGGCCACACUGGAACUGAGACACGGUCCAGACUCCUACGGGAGGCAGCAGUAGGGAAUCUUCCGCAAUGGGCGAAAGCCUGACGGAGCAACGCCGCGUGAGUGAUGAAGGUCUUCGGAUCGUAAAACUCUGUUAUUAGGGAAGAACAUAUGUGUAAGUAACUGUGCACAUCUUGACGGUACCUAAUCAGAAAGCCACGGCUAACUACGU
RNAcentral lists this ribosomal RNA (496 nucleotides) under uncultured bacterium. RNAcentral's name for it is "partial 16S ribosomal RNA". It matches the Rfam family "Bacterial small subunit ribosomal RNA", at positions 28 to 506 of the family's 1533-position model. The record is from RNAcentral.